GACGAACGCUGGCGGCGUGCUUAACACAUGCAAGUCGAGCGAUGAGAUCACUUCGGUGAAGGAUUAGCGGCGAACGGGUGAGGAACACGUGAAGAAUCUGCCUUCAACUCUGGGAUAACUCCGGGAAACCGGGGCUAAUACCGGAUAUGAGCCUUGAUCGCAUGAUCGGGGCUGGAAAGUUUUUCGGUUGAAGAUGACUUCGCGGCCUAUCAGCUUGUUGGUGAGGUAAUGGCUCACCAAGGCGACGACGGGUAGCCGGCCUGAGAGGGCGACCGGCCACACUGGGACUGAGACACGGCCCAGACUCCUACGGGAGGCAGCAGUGGGGAAUAUUGGGCAAUGGAGGAAACUCUGACCCAGCGACGCCGCGUGCGGGAUGAAGGCCUUCGGGUUGUAAACCGCUUUCAGCAGGGAAUAAGCGCAAGUGAAGGUACCUGCAGAAGAAGCACCGGCUAACUAUGUGCCAGCAGCCGCGGUAAUACAUAGGGUGCAAGCGUUGUCCGGAAUUAUUGGGCGUAAAGAGCUCGUAGGUGGUUUGUUACGUCGGUUGUGAAAUUCAGGGGCUCAACCCCUGACUUGCAGCCGAUACGGGCAAGCUAGAGUAUGGUAGGGGAGACUGGAAUUCCUGGUGUAGCGGUG
This 639-nucleotide ribosomal RNA is filed under the name Actinomycetes bacterium. RNAcentral's name for it is "bacterial SSU rRNA". It matches the Rfam family "Bacterial small subunit ribosomal RNA", at positions 28 to 683 of the family's 1533-position model. The record is from RNAcentral. Lineage: Bacteria; Bacillati; Actinomycetota; Actinomycetes.